RNAcentral lists this ribosomal RNA (253 nucleotides) under uncultured bacterium. RNAcentral describes it as "partial 16S ribosomal RNA". It matches the Rfam family "Bacterial small subunit ribosomal RNA", at positions 524 to 776 of the family's 1533-position model. The record is from RNAcentral.
GACGUAGGGCGCGAGCGUUGUCCGGAUUUAUUGGGCGUAAAGAGCUCGUAGGCGGCUUGUCGCGUCGACUGUGAAAACCCACGGCUUAACUGUGGGCUUGCAGUCGAUACGGGCAGGCUAGAGUUCGGUAGGGGAGACUGGAAUUCCUGGUGUAGCGGUGAAAUGCGCAGAUAUCAGGGGGAACACCGGUGGCGAAGGCGGGUCUCUGGGCCGAUACUGACGCUGAGGUGCGAAAGCGUGGGGAGCAAACAGG